GGGUUUGUGGCUCAGUGGUUGAGCACUCACCUAGCAUGUGUGGGGCCCUGGGUUCCAUCCUCAGCACCA
Molecule: transfer RNA, 69 nt
Filed under: Marmota marmota marmota (Alpine marmot)
Lineage: Eukaryota; Metazoa; Chordata; Mammalia; Rodentia; Sciuridae
Also listed under: 2 other names
Rfam family: tRNA
About the family: Transfer RNA (tRNA) molecules are approximately 80 nucleotides in length. Their secondary structure includes four short double-helical elements and three loops (D, anti-codon, and T loops).
Source: Rfam by way of RNAcentral